AUUGAACGCUGGCGGCAGGCCUAACACAUGCAAGUCGAACGGUAACAGGAAACAGCUUGCUGUUUCGCUGACGAGUGGCGGACGGGUGAGUAAUGUCUGGGAAACUGCCUGAUGGAGGGGGAUAACUACUGGAAACGGUAGCUAAUACCGCAUAACGUCGCAAGACCAAAGAGGGGGACCUUCGGGCCUCUUGCCAUCGGAUGUGCCCAGAUGGGAUUAGCUAGUAGGUGGGGUAACGGCUCACCUAGGCGACGAUCCCUAGCUGGUCUGAGAGGAUGACCAGCCACACUGGAACUGAGACACGGUCCAGACUCCUACGGGAGGCAGCAGUGGGGAAUAUUGCACAAUGGGCGCAAGCCUGAUGCAGCCAUGCCGCGCGUAUGAAGAAGGCCUUCGGGUUGUAAAGUACUUUCAGCGGGGAUGAAGGGAGUAAAGUUAAUACCUUUGCUCAUUGACGUUACCCGCAGAAGAAGCACCGGCUAACUCCGUG
RNAcentral lists this ribosomal RNA (490 nucleotides) under uncultured bacterium. RNAcentral's name for it is "partial 16S ribosomal RNA". It matches the Rfam family "Bacterial small subunit ribosomal RNA", at positions 30 to 507 of the family's 1533-position model. The record is from RNAcentral.